AGGACACAGUCAUGGCUUUCUGAGACCUGGUUCAGUUUAUUUAUGAGCUGGUGAUUCUCGUUCCGGAGCCAAGCCACCUGUGACAGGAGUUCAUCUAGGUGUCUUUGCUUUCGCAUUCUUGAUCUUCGUGCAGAUUCUCUGUUAGAUAUCAUGCGUCGCUGCUUUCUCUCAUUGAUGAUGCUCAGUUGCUGCUCAUCUGCUUCAUCAGAAGUUGAGUUGUUGCUGAAACAUGGGGACUGUAGGUUGAGUUCCUGAACUUGAGGGUUGAAACUGAAAUUGCAUGAAGGAUUCAGCGCAGAGAGCUUGGGUGGCAGAGGCUGGAGGAGAAGGGCUAUUAUAUACUGCAAGAAAGUGGCUUAAGCGGGAAACAAAGGUUUAUCGCCCGGACCAUUUCGGGUUUUUGCUCAAUCCAUACCAUCAGCAUCUCUCUGAGGUAUAUCGGACGAAACUUCCUGUGUUGAGAACAGUUGUCUAAUAUUUGCUUUUAUAUGUCAAAGAGGUGAUCAUCCCUCAAAAAAUUUCAACCCUGCAUGCAUAUCGUGCAUGUAGAACAUGAUUUGUUUUCAGCAUCCACGGAAUUCUACUUUGAACUCUGUCUUCAGGGUAUAGUUUUUUGUCUUCAUGGAUCACGCUUGUAAACAAAAAGAUGUUGCAAGAAGCUACCAGGACAGGACCUUACUUCCACGAGAGUAAUUGGAACUAAGGGAAAGGUGUUAGGCGGGCUUGGCUUGUCUUCUUCUGGUGUCCAAAUCUUAGCCGGUUUAUUAUAUUCCAUUUGCAAAAAAGGCGACUUCUUUAAAUUAUGUGCAUGUACAUUUUACAUAUAUAUAUAUAUAUAUAAUUUUAGAUCUUAGAUCUUGUCUUUGUAUUUAUGUCACAAGCUGUGUAUAUGUAUUUGAAUAUAACAUUCUGCAAUGAAAACACCUAUGGAUGAAUUCCCGUUAUAUUUUUAUUUUUGCAACUAGUUAUCUAGGACCAAUACCUAGACUAAUCGCACGGAGUCAGAAGUCAAUCA
Tarenaya hassleriana is the source of this 1015-nucleotide long non-coding RNA. RefSeq lists it as uncharacterized. The transcript is spliced from 3 exons. NCBI's taxonomy places the organism in Eukaryota, Viridiplantae, Streptophyta, Magnoliopsida, Brassicales, Cleomaceae. The record is from RefSeq and is a predicted model, not a curated record.